RNAcentral lists this ribosomal RNA (577 nucleotides) under uncultured bacterium. RNAcentral describes it as "partial 16S ribosomal RNA". It matches the Rfam family "Bacterial small subunit ribosomal RNA", at positions 355 to 926 of the family's 1533-position model. The record is from RNAcentral.
UGGGGAAUUUUGGACAAUGGGCGAAAGCCUGAUCCAGCAAUGCCGCGUGUGUGAAGAAGGCCUUCGGGUUGUAAAGCACUUUUGUCCGGAAAGAAAUCCUCUGGGUUAAUACCUCGGGGGGAUGACGGUACCGGAAGAAUAAGCACCGGCUAACUACGUGCCAGCAGCCGCGGUAAUACGUAGGGUGCAAGCGUUAAUCGGAAUUACUGGGCGUAAAGCGUGCGCAGGCGGUUUUGUAAGACGGAUGUGAAAUCCCCGGGCUUAACCUGGGAACUGCAUUCGUGACUGCAAGGCUAGAGUAUGGCAGAGGGGGGUAGAAUUCCACGUGUAGCAGUGAAAUGCGUAGAGAUGUGGAGGAAUACCGAUGGCGAAGGCAGCCCCCUGGGCCAAUACUGACGCUCAUGCACGAAAGCGUGGGGAGCAAACAGGAUUAGAUACCCUGGUAGUCCACGCCCUAAACGAUGUCAACUAGUUGUUGGGGAUUCAUUUCCUAGUAACGUAGCUAACGCGUGAAGUUGACCGCCUGGGGAGUACGGUCGCAAGAUUAAAACUCAAAUGAAUUGACGGGGUCAUAGCU